CGAAAGGAGCCGGUUGAGGACCUAAUAAGUCGGCUAGAUCUUCAGGAAGAUGAGGACGAUCACUUCGUGUGGGAGGAAGGGUUCAAGGAGGAAGAGAUCGUGGCCAAGUGGCUCGCAAUUGCAAAGGUACACACAGACAAAGGAUUCAGUCCCUCGGCUCUAUAUGCGGAUAUGAGGUCUGCAUGGAACCCCGCAAGGGAACCCAGAUGGCGCAAGGUUGAAGAUAACUUGUUUACUAUUCAGUUUGGGUGCCUAGGAGAUUGGAAUGUCUCUUUCGAAAUCAAUGUGUGGUGA
RNAcentral lists this ribosomal RNA (294 nucleotides) under Triticum aestivum (bread wheat). RNAcentral's name for it is "partial small subunit ribosomal RNA". The record is from RNAcentral. Lineage: Eukaryota; Viridiplantae; Streptophyta; Magnoliopsida; Poales; Poaceae.